CCCUUAGAUGUUCUGGGCCGCACACGUGCUACACUGAGUAAAUCAAUGGGUAAGGGAACACGAAAGUGCAACCUAAUCUUCAAAUUUUCUCGUGAUGGGGAUCGACGGUUGCAAUUUUCCGUCGUGAACGAGGAAUACCUUGUAGGCGCGUGUCAUCAUCACGCGCCGAAUACGUCUCUGCACUUUGAACACACCGCCCGUCGCUCCUACCGAUUGGAUGAUCCGGUGAGCUAUUCGGACUUUCGCAUUGUCGAUUUUCGGCUUUACGAGGGAAAGUCUCGCGAACCUUAUCAUCUAGAGGAAGGAGAAGUCGUAACA
This 318-nucleotide ribosomal RNA is filed under the name uncultured eukaryote. Its description in RNAcentral is "partial 18S ribosomal RNA". It matches the Rfam family "Eukaryotic small subunit ribosomal RNA", at positions 1470 to 1796 of the family's 1831-position model. The record is from RNAcentral.